CAUUGGAGUAAUUGAUCAUUUUUAAGUUUAUAGACCAUAUUUUUCAAAAUAUAUAUACUUAGAAUAUUAUAAAUAAUAAUUUACCAAAUAAAUAAUAUAAUAUAAAUGGUUACAUAUAAUAAAGUGAACAUACAUGUGAAAUGAAGUUGUUGUGAUGAAAAAAGAUGAUGAGUUUAAAAUGAGUUCAUUCAACAAAUUGAGAG
Molecule: long non-coding RNA, 203 nt
Filed under: Elaeis guineensis (African oil palm)
Lineage: Eukaryota; Viridiplantae; Streptophyta; Magnoliopsida; Arecales; Arecaceae
Description: long non-coding RNA (EGUI_LNC071363)
Source: RNAcentral